AAAUUGAAGAGUUUGAUCAUGGCUCAGAUUGAACGCUGGCGGCAGGCCUAACACAUGCAAGUCGAACGGUAACAGGAAGCAGCUUGCUGCUUCGCUGACGAGUGGCGGACGGGUGAGUAAUGUCUGGGAAACUGCCUGAUGGAGGGGGAUAACUACUGGAAACGGUAGCUAAUACCGCAUAACGGUAGCUAAUACCGCAU
RNAcentral lists this ribosomal RNA (200 nucleotides) under Enterobacter hormaechei. Its description in RNAcentral is "partial 16S ribosomal RNA". It matches the Rfam family "Bacterial small subunit ribosomal RNA", at positions 1 to 193 of the family's 1533-position model. Lineage: Bacteria; Pseudomonadati; Pseudomonadota; Gammaproteobacteria; Enterobacterales; Enterobacteriaceae. The record is from RNAcentral.